UGAAGGCCUGCGCAGGCCUGUGCAGGCCCGUUUUGCGGGCCCAGAAGUCCUUGGUGAUGAACCUACAAAGGCAGAAUCAUGGAUGGAUUUCAGGUAAUUUACAAGAUUAAAAUUAAUUUGGUUGCUGGUGGUUCCGAACAAAUAUGUACAGCUCUUUUAUCCCAGGUACAUCUUUUUGAAGACUGAGAAAUUAGAGUUUUAUCCCUGAGGAUAAAGAAAGUGUUUUGGAAAGUAUUUUAUAUCGCAAAAGUGCAAAUCCUCAUACUGAUAAUCUGAAGGGCCUGUACAGUGUAGCAGACCUUGGAAACAAACCCAGUCAGCUUGAAGAGUCUCAAAAGGACCCUACCAGUGAGAAAUCAAGAUGGCAGUCCACUAUGGGGAAUUGAGGAAAAUGGAUUAAUACAAGAGUGCUGUGAUAAAAUACCACCAAGACAGGGUUCUUUUAACAUGGAUUCAGUGAAAUGAAUGAAACCUAUCUUAACCAACAAAUGGACAGUGGAUUUGACUUUGUAAAGACUUGUAUCAUUUAAACUAGUUUAUUUUUGACAUUUGGAGAAGAUGGCACGUUAACACAGAUGGUAGCGUGGAUACCUGAAUUUUUUUUUUGCAUAUUUUGAUUUGUUUGAAUAUGACCUCAUGGAAUGUUAACUUUAAUAAAAUUUCUAACAUUUAAAAAAAUUUCAGUUUGGGCCUUGUUCUUUUUCAAGUGGAAGUUUCAUUAAAUAUUCAAUUAUCACCUUAAUAACAAUUUGGUUCUUACAGUUGCCCAGCAGUAUAUUCAGUAAAACUGGUAACAUGGAAAUGAUGUGGUGGAAUAUGUUUUACUUGCUUGAUAAAGAUUUGUAUUUUCUCACAAAGCUAUGGGAAUUUAUCUGUGCUUUGGCAUGGCUAUUAGUUAAAACAUGAUUUUUUUCAGGUUUGUUUGAAGUUUUGAAUGCAUUUCCUUAAAUUUCUCUUUGUAUUUUCUUGAAACACCUUGCAAAUCAGCUUAAUCAGUGGGUAGUAAUAGUUUUUAAUUUAGCAUGAGAUUUAAUGAUCUUUUAAAGCAAUAUGUUUUGUUGCCGUCAAACUCAGGGUGAUAAUAGCAUUUCUCUGAAUUAUUUUGAGUUGAUGGAAAUGUUCUCCUUUACUUAUGCUUUUUAAUGUUAUAAAUAAAAUAUUUUGCAAUAGAAUAUUCAUUUGAAUAUUUAGACAUGUCUUUUGUUAAUGUUGGGGGAAGAAUGUUGGAUUUAUAGGGAAAUGUCAUUAGGGUAUAUAUAAACUGGCUUAAAUCUUUGGUGGGAAUGAUGGCUAUAAUGUAUUGUAUUUACAUUUGAAAUAGGAUUUG
RNAcentral lists this long non-coding RNA (1327 nucleotides) under Heterocephalus glaber (naked mole-rat). Its description in RNAcentral is "lncRNA (ENSHGLG00000032018.1)". The record is from RNAcentral. Lineage: Eukaryota; Metazoa; Chordata; Mammalia; Rodentia; Bathyergidae.